GACGAACGCUGGCGGCGUGCUUAACACAUGCAAGUCGAGCGGUAAGGCCCUUUCGGGGGUACACGAGCGGCGAACGGGUGAGUAACACGUGGGUGACCUGCCCUCAGCUCUGGGAUAAGCCUGGGAAACCGGGUCUAAUACUGGAUAUGACUCCAUGACGCAUGUUGUGGGGUGGAAAGCCUUGUGCGGCUGAGGAUGGGCCCGCGGCCUAAUCAGCUUGUUGGUGGGGUGAGGCCUACCAAGGCGACGACGGGUAGCCGGCCUGAGAGGGCGACCGGCCACACUGGGACUGAGACACGGCCCAGACUCCUACGGGAGGCAGCAGUGGGGAAUCUUGCGCAAUGGGCG
Molecule: ribosomal RNA, 348 nt
Filed under: uncultured bacterium
Lineage: Bacteria
Description: bacterial SSU rRNA
Rfam family: Bacterial small subunit ribosomal RNA
Source: RNAcentral